UACAGAGGUCUCAAGCGUUGUUCGGAUUCAUUGGGCGUAAAGGGCGCGUAGGUGGCCUGUGGAAGUCUGCGGUGAAAGCCCGGCGCUCAACGCCGGGUCGGCCGUGGAUACUCUCGGGCUUGAGCUUACUAGAGGCAGAUGGAAUUCCGGGUGUAGCGGUGGAAUGCGUAGAGAUCCGGAAGAACACCGGUGGCGAAGGCGGUCUGCUGGGGUAAUGCUGACACUGAUGCGCGACAGCGUGGGGAGCAAACAGG
RNAcentral lists this ribosomal RNA (254 nucleotides) under uncultured bacterium. RNAcentral describes it as "partial 16S ribosomal RNA". It matches the Rfam family "Bacterial small subunit ribosomal RNA", at positions 524 to 776 of the family's 1533-position model. The record is from RNAcentral.